ACCGUGCGCGCCGAGUUCUUCUUCCUCGUGCCGAGUCGCCAUCUCCUCCCCUGCCCUAACUGCCACUCAGCAGUUCCCUACUUCCUCCUCGAGCCGAUUUCCCCUCUUCUUCUUCCCUGGAUUGCGCCACUCCUCCUCCGUCCGGCUGUGCCCUAGUUCACCCUCUGCCCUCACGGCGAAAUUGCCCUAGCCGACUGCCACAAUCCGAUCGCACCGCCGGUCGAACCCUUCUUCUUCUUCCUUCCUCGCGUCUUCAUCGCCGUCGGCGUCUGAAUAUCACCCGAGCCUUCGCCUCUUCGGGUCGGGGAUAGGAGCCGAGCACCCGAGUUGAUCUGUUGCCGGUGCCCUAGCCACUGUCUACCCCUUGAAGUGGUGUCGACGUCGGCUCGCCAUCAUCUGAGUUUGGUAGCUCUCUGGUUGGACAUCCAUCGACCGACCAUCUUUUCCUUUACGGUUGGAUCCCUGUUCAUUCCCUCACCGGCACAGAUUUGCUGCUAAUCUCUUAGCCACUGUCUAUUUAGUCUUCGAUGAAGGGAAGGUUGGCAACACAGAUUUGGAUCUGGUCGGAUCGACACCAGCAGUGAACAUCUGGUAUAAACAAGGGAUCAGUAAUUCCAGGUAGUUACGGCUAGAAAUUUGGCAAUAGACUCCUCAGGAUUUGAGCAGCACUGAGGCAUCAGAAUUUGGGAUUUUUAUUCGAGACGGCAUCUCGACGAGGGAUCUAUUUCAGAUUGGACCACUGCUAUUUGAGGCGGGUACCUCUUGACUUAUCUUUAUGAUAUUGUCAAUUGGAUAUGCAUAGUAUUUUAUAGCUACAAGUAAUGAUAAUGCUUGCCUUUGGUAUGUCAUUAUUUGUUACCCGUAACAUGUCCUGUUGGGAGUUUUUUUUAUGUAUCCAUGUUUACGUUUCGUGAUUAUUGCCAUGAGUACCUUAGUUCCUAGAGUAUGUGACAUACUAUGCUUUUCUGAGUUUAGGACUAGAUUCUGGAUUUUUAUUAUUUGACAUGUGUAUCUAUAUUUUUAUAUCAUACCUGAUCUGUGUACCUAGACCUUUUGCUUUGAUCCAUGUACAUUGUUGGUACAUAUUUUAUG
Long non-coding RNA from Zingiber officinale, 1092 nucleotides. RefSeq lists it as uncharacterized. The transcript is spliced from 3 exons. The record is from RefSeq and is a predicted model, not a curated record. Lineage: Eukaryota; Viridiplantae; Streptophyta; Magnoliopsida; Zingiberales; Zingiberaceae.